GUCUCAGUUCGGAUUGAAGGCUGAAAUUCGCCUUCAUGAAGCCGGAAUUGCUAGUAAUGGCAGGUCAGCAUACUGCCGUGAAUACGUUCCCGGGCCUUGUACACACCGCCCGUCACACCAUGAGAGUUGGGAAUACCCGAAGCCUGUGAGCUAACUAUACGAGGCAGCAGUCGAAGGUAGAAUCAAUGAUUGGGGUGAAGUCGUAACAAGGUAUC
Molecule: ribosomal RNA, 215 nt
Filed under: uncultured bacterium
Lineage: Bacteria
Description: partial 16S ribosomal RNA
Rfam family: Bacterial small subunit ribosomal RNA
Source: RNAcentral